This 463-nucleotide ribosomal RNA is filed under the name uncultured bacterium. RNAcentral's name for it is "partial 16S ribosomal RNA". It matches the Rfam family "Bacterial small subunit ribosomal RNA", at positions 29 to 506 of the family's 1533-position model. The record is from RNAcentral.
ACGAACGCUGGCGGCGUGCUUAACACAUGCAAGUCGUACGGUAAGGCCCUUUCGGGGGUACACGAGUGGCGAACGGGUGAGUAACACGUGAGUAACCUGCCCACAACUUUGGGAUAACGCUAGGAAACUGGUGCUAAUACUGGAUAUGUGCCCCUGCUGCAUGGUGGGGGUUGGAAAGCUCCGGCGGUUGUGGAUGGACUCGCGGCCUAUCAGCUUGUUGGUGGGGUAGUGGCCUACCAAGGCGGCGACGGGUAGCCGGCCUGAGAGGGUGACCGGCCACAUUGGGACUGAGAUACGGCCCAGACUCCUACGGGAGGCAGCAGUGGGGAAUAUUGCACAAUGGGCGCAAGCCUGAUGCAGCAACGCCGCGUGCAGGAUGACGGCCUUCGGGUUGUAAACCGCUUUCAGCAGGGACGAAGCUUUUUGUGACGGUACCUGCAGAAGAAGCACCGGCUAACUACGU